Molecule: ribosomal RNA, 748 nt
Filed under: uncultured Psychrobacter sp.
Lineage: Bacteria; Pseudomonadati; Pseudomonadota; Gammaproteobacteria; Moraxellales; Moraxellaceae
Description: bacterial SSU rRNA
Rfam family: Bacterial small subunit ribosomal RNA
Source: RNAcentral
GACGAACGCUGGCGGCGUGCUUAACACAUGCAAGUCGAACGGGAUUUAGUAGACAGAAGCUUCGGUGGAAGAUUACUAAUGAGAGUGGCGAACGGGUGAGUAACGCGUGAGCAACCUGCCUAUGACAGUGGGAUAGCCUCGGGAAACCGGGAUUAAUACCGCAUAAAAUCGUAGAAACACAUGUUUUAACGGUCAAAGAUUUAUCGGUCAUAGAUGGGCUCGCGUCUGAUUAGCUAGUUGGUGAGAUAACAGCCCACCAAGGCGACGAUCAGUAGCCGGUCUGAGAGGAUGAACGGCCACAUUGGAACUGAGACACGGUCCAAACUCCUACGGGAGGCAGCAGUAAGGAAUAUUGCGCAAUGGGGGAAACCCUGACGCAGCAACGCCGCGUGGAGGAUGACACUUUUCGGAGCGUAAACUCCUUUUAUCAGGAAAGAAUAAUGACGGUACCUGAUGAAUAAGCACCGGCUAACUCCGUGCCAGCAGCCGCGGUAAUACGGGGGGUGCAAGCGUUACUCGGAAUCACUGGGCGUAAAGGACGCGUAGGCGGAUUAUCAAGUCUUUUGUGAAAUCUAGUGGCUUAACCACUAAACUGCUUAGGAAACUGAUAGUCUAGAGUAGGGGAGAGGUAGAUGGAAUUCUUGGUGUAGGGGUAAAAUCCGUAGAGAUCAAGAAGAAUACCCAUUGCGAAAGCGAUCUGCUGGAACCUAACUGACGCUGAGGCGUGAAAGCGUGGGUAGCAAACAGG